CGGGCCGGCUCAACCCGC
Molecule: small nuclear RNA, 18 nt
Filed under: Arabidopsis thaliana (thale cress)
Lineage: Eukaryota; Viridiplantae; Streptophyta; Magnoliopsida; Brassicales; Brassicaceae
Description: snRNA_16153
Source: RNAcentral